AAGGGUAUAGCUCAAGUGGCAGAGUGCAUGCUUAGCAUGCACGAGGUCCUGGGUUCAAUCCCCAGUGCCUGUU
RNAcentral lists this transfer RNA (73 nucleotides) under Camelus bactrianus (Bactrian camel). It matches the Rfam family "tRNA". From Rfam's summary of the family: Transfer RNA (tRNA) molecules are approximately 80 nucleotides in length. Their secondary structure includes four short double-helical elements and three loops (D, anti-codon, and T loops). RNAcentral also lists the same sequence under 2 other names. The record is from Rfam by way of RNAcentral. Lineage: Eukaryota; Metazoa; Chordata; Mammalia; Artiodactyla; Camelidae.